GAUGAACGCUGGCGGCGUGCUUAACACAUGCAAGUCGAACGGAAAGGCCCUGAUCUUGUGGGGUGCUCGUUAGGCGCACGGGUGAGUAACACGUGAGUAUCCUGCCCUUGACUUUGGGAUAACUUCAGGAAACUGCGGCUAAUACCGGAUAGGAGCUAUUGCUGCAUGGUGGUGGUUGGUAAGUUUCGGCGGUUGGGGCUGGACUCGCGGCUUAUCCGCUUCAUGGUGGGGUAGUGGCUUUCCAAGGUUAUGACGGGUAGCAGGCGUGAGAGGGUGACCGGCCACAUUGGGACUGAGAUACGGCCCAGACUCCUACGGGAGGCAGCAGUGGGGAAUAUUGCACAAUGGGCGGAAGCCUGAUGCAGCAACGCCGCGUGCGGGAUGACGGGCUUCGGGUGGUAAACCGCUUUCGCCUGUGACGAAGCGGGAGUGACGGUAAUGAGUAAAGAAGCACCGGCUAACUACGUG
RNAcentral lists this ribosomal RNA (468 nucleotides) under uncultured bacterium. RNAcentral describes it as "partial 16S ribosomal RNA". It matches the Rfam family "Bacterial small subunit ribosomal RNA", at positions 28 to 507 of the family's 1533-position model. The record is from RNAcentral.